UACUUCUUGCGACCAUAAGGAGGUAAAAUAAAUUCUGUUAAAAGAAAAAAGAUCGAAGGGAAAAUACAAGUUUGUUUGCAUAUUGGGUAGGAUAAAAAAUCUUAAGAAGAAGAAGAAGAAACUCAAAUUGCACCAAAGCUGCCGAGUUUGUUUGCAUAUUGGAGUGAUGUUUUGGGGUGGUUUGAUCAAAUAAAGACAAGAAAUUCUUUGUUGUUUGUUAAAUUGGGUAUCAACUUAGGAUUUGAGUCUUCUGCAUUCUGAAUUUUCACAUUUGAAGUUAACAAUCAAUGGCAUGAAGUAUCCAACCACAUUUGCUCCAUCAUCAACUGCCUUCCUCCUCAGUUGAGUUAAAUAGCCUUUCUAAUAGUUUAUUUCAGGUCUUCCUUCUUCAUUCUUGGAAAAGGAGUUCUGGCAUGAGAUGGCUCAUGGAGAGAAGGAAACAGUCGACUUGAGUAUAGAGUCAAUGUUGAGGGCAGUGCCUUUUCAUGAGAUCCUGAUGAUAGGCUUGGAAUAAGCAAAUGGAAUUUGAAGGUUGUUUGUUUUUCAGACUUUAUGCUGACUCUAUUUCUUAAUAUCUUCACUCCUGCAUCUGAUUUUCAAUUUUCAUACAUUGCUUCUCAUAAUCUUAAUUUAUUGUC
Glycine soja is the source of this 638-nucleotide long non-coding RNA. RefSeq lists it as uncharacterized. The record is from RefSeq and is a predicted model, not a curated record. The transcript has 2 exons. NCBI's taxonomy places the organism in Eukaryota, Viridiplantae, Streptophyta, Magnoliopsida, Fabales, Fabaceae.